This is a long non-coding RNA of Olea europaea var. sylvestris, 593 nucleotides long. RefSeq lists it as uncharacterized. The transcript has 3 exons. The record is from RefSeq and is a predicted model, not a curated record. NCBI's taxonomy places the organism in Eukaryota, Viridiplantae, Streptophyta, Magnoliopsida, Lamiales, Oleaceae.
CUGGCCGAAGAUAUUUGAAGAGUAGUUGUAUACUUAAAGAGGCUCGAAAGCCUGAGGAAAAGGCCACGUUUGGCCCUUCUUUCAAUGAAGAUGAAACAAGACAAGUCAGAUUCAAACUACUCCUGCAGGAAAUAAGGUUUUGCCAAUUAUUGAAUUGGUGCAAGCUUUAUCACAACAAUGUAGAAAAGACGGAUAGAACCAAAGGCGAUAAAAGCAGAGCCAUAUCCAGGAUGAAAGAGCUAAUGAGAUGGGCUACUGUUGUUGACAAGUCUGAGAAGGGAGGAAAGUACAUUGGUAGAAAGGUCUUGCAGUUUCGAAAUAGAUCCACUUUAAAGGUAGCGCUGGACGACAAUGAAUUUAGUAACGACUCUCCAAAAAUCAGUUUCGAAUGGGAUUUAGAGAGUUAUUCCACCAUUUCAACGGCUUCAUCUUUAAAACAUGAACUGAACACGAAUGCAGGAUAUUAGUGUAUUGGUACAAGUGGAAACUGGAUCACCACAAAUUCUGAAUUUGUCGUGCUAGAACUAUGAAGAUUGGAUUCGACUGAAGUUUCUAAUGGUAGAUUGAUCCUCAAGAGUGGUGUAUAAGGCAGU